RNAcentral lists this ribosomal RNA (264 nucleotides) under uncultured bacterium. RNAcentral describes it as "partial 16S ribosomal RNA". It matches the Rfam family "Bacterial small subunit ribosomal RNA", at positions 524 to 787 of the family's 1533-position model. The record is from RNAcentral.
UACGUAGGGUGCGAGCGUUGUCCGGAAUUACUGGGCGUAAAGCGCGUGUAGGCGGCCCUGCAAGUCGGGUGUGAAAUCCCACGGCUCAACCGUGGAAGUGCACUCGAAACUGCAGGGCUAGAGUCCUGGAGAGGAAGGUGGAAUGCUUGGUGUAGAGGUGAAAUUCGUAGAUAUCAAGCGGAACACCGGUGGCGAAGGCGGCCUCUGGACAGUGACUGACGCUGAGACGGCGAAAGCGUGGGGAGCAAACAGGAUUAGAAACCC